CCUGGUGGCUCAGAUGGUAAAGCAUCUGCCUGUAACGCAGGAGACCUGGGUUCGAUUCCUGGGUCAGGA
RNAcentral lists this transfer RNA (69 nucleotides) under Ovis aries (sheep). It matches the Rfam family "tRNA". Rfam says of the family: Transfer RNA (tRNA) molecules are approximately 80 nucleotides in length. Their secondary structure includes four short double-helical elements and three loops (D, anti-codon, and T loops). The record is from Rfam by way of RNAcentral. Lineage: Eukaryota; Metazoa; Chordata; Mammalia; Artiodactyla; Bovidae.